CUUGGUCAUUUAGAGGAAGUAAAAGUCGUAACAAGGUCUCCGUUGGUGAACCAGCGGAGGGAUCAUUACCGAGUUUACAACUCCCAAACCCCUGUGAACAUACCACUUGUUGCCUCGGCGGAUCAGCCCGCUCCCGGUAAAACGGGACGGCCCGCCAGAGGACCCCUAAACUCUGUUUCUAUAUGUAACUUCUGAGUAAAACCAUAAAUAAAUCAAAACUUUCAACAACGGAUCUCUUGGUUCUGGCAUCGAUGAAGAACGCAGCAAAAUGCGAUAAGUAAUGUGAAUUGCAGAAUUCAGUGAAUCAUCGAAUCUUUGAACGCACAUUGCGCCCGCCAGUAUUCUGGCGGGCAUGCCUGUUCGAGCGUCAUUUCAACCCUCAAGCACAGCUUGGUGUUGGGACUCGCGUUAAUUCGCGUUCCUCAAAUCGAUUGGCGGUCACGUCGAGCUUCCAUAGCGUAGUAGUAAAACCCUCGUUACUGGUAAUCGUCGCGGCCACGCCGUUAAACCCCAACUUCUGAAUGUUGACCUCGGAUCAGGUAGGAAUACCCGCUGAACUUAAGCAUAUCAAUAAGCGGAGGA
Molecule: ribosomal RNA, 582 nt
Filed under: uncultured Ascomycota
Lineage: Eukaryota; Fungi; Ascomycota
Description: eukaryotic LSU rRNA
Rfam family: 5.8S ribosomal RNA (bases 217-370)
Source: RNAcentral